AAAUGUGUUUGAAACAUCUCUGACCAUUUCUAAUCUGACUGCUGGUGAGCAGUAUACAAUAACUGUAACUGCUGUAGCUGCUGAUAAUCUCACUGAAGGAAAGAGUGAGACUACUUCCAAAUACACAAAACCUGAAGCAGUCAACAAUCUUAAUGUGACUGAGGUAACAACAACCUCUGUGUCUCUGAAUUGGACUGAACCUGAGGGGAAAAGACUGUUUUAUACAGUAAAGUGGGAAAAUGAAAACAAACAUUUGAAUACUAGUGAGACUCAGGCGAUUGUGACUGAGCUGACUCCUGGAGAGAACUACUGUUUUAAUGUCUCAGCUGUGGCUGGAGACAACAAAACAGAGAGUGAUGGGAGAAACAUUUGUCGAUUUACAAGUAAGAUUAUGAGCCUGCUACUAAGUGUCACACUUUGACAAGAUUUUUAUCGUUUUGUUUUUAAAAUGUUUGCAACAUACUGAUUUCUGCUCACAGAGCCUGAAGUAGUCACAGCCCUCAGAGUCUUUAAUGUAACAACAUCAUCUCUAUCUGUGAACUGGACAAAACCAACGGGAAGCAGCUCUUUCUAUAGAGUUCAAUGGGAAGGUGGAAGAAUAAAUCACCAAAGAAAUGUGUUUGAAACAUCUCUGACCAUUUCUAAUCUGACUGCUGGUGAGCAGUAUACAAUAACUGUAACUGCUGUAGCUGCUGAUAAUCUCACUGAAGGAAAGAGUGAGACUACUUCCAAAUACACAAAACCUGAAGCAGUCAACAAUCUUAAUGUGACUGAGGUAACAACAACCUCUGUGUCUCUGAAUUGGACUGAACCUGAGGGGAAAAGACUGUUUUAUACAGUAAAGUGGGAAAAUGAAAACAAACAUUUGAAUACUAGUGGAACUCAGGCGAUUGUGACUGAGCUGACUCCUGGAGAGAACUACUGUUUUAAUGUCUCAGCUGUGGCUGGAGACAACAAAACAGAGAGUGAUGGGAGAAACAUUUGUCGAUUUACAAGUAAGAUUAUGAGCCUGCUACUAAGUGUCACACUUUGACAAGAUUUUCAUCCUUUUGUUUUUAAAAUGUUUGCAACAUACUAAUUUGUGCUCACAGAGCCUGAAGUAGUCACAGCCCUCGCAGUCUUUAAUGUAACAACAUCAUCUCUAUCUGUGAACUGGACAAAACCAACGGGAAGCAGCUCUUUCUAUAGAGUUCAAUGGGAAGGUGGAAGAAUAAAUCACCAAAGAAAUGUGUUUGAAACAUCUCUGACCAUUUCUAAUCUGACUGCUGGUGAGCAGUAUACAAUAACUGUAACUGCUGUAGCUGCUGAUAAUCUCACUGAAGGAAAGAGUGAGACUACUUCCAAAUACACAAGUGAGUGAGCUUCAAUCUCUGGGAAAUAUUUAGAGAUGGAUGGAUCGAUUGAUGGUUGCAACAUUUAGAAAUAACCAAGGGUGAAAUAAGUAGUCUGUUUGUAGUAAA
Molecule: long non-coding RNA, 1460 nt
Organism: Poeciliopsis prolifica (blackstripe livebearer)
Lineage: Eukaryota; Metazoa; Chordata; Actinopteri; Cyprinodontiformes; Poeciliidae
Exons: 3
Source: RefSeq, a predicted model, not a curated record